RNAcentral lists this long non-coding RNA (264 nucleotides) under Homo sapiens (human). RNAcentral describes it as "long non-coding RNA NONHSAT173742.1". Lineage: Eukaryota; Metazoa; Chordata; Mammalia; Primates; Hominidae. The record is from RNAcentral.
UGCCUCUGGUGGCCCGGCAGCACCGUCCCACCUCUGCCACCCUCCGAUGGGGCCGCUACCUGCGUGCCUGCCAAUCAUGCUGCUCCUGCUGCUGCUGCUGCUGCUGCUGCUUGGACCUGGCCCCAGGUCUGGCGAGGCACACAGGGAUCAAAGGGGAAGAAGGUGUCCAGUGGGUUUGUGCAGGUCUGCACUGAGUCUCCUCCAGUGGUACUCCUAAUGACUGGCAGCAUCUGGCGAUUGUUCCUCUCAAUGAUGGUGUAGCAG